This is a long non-coding RNA of Gadus morhua (Atlantic cod), 398 nucleotides long. RefSeq lists it as uncharacterized. NCBI's taxonomy places the organism in Eukaryota, Metazoa, Chordata, Actinopteri, Gadiformes, Gadidae. The record is from RefSeq and is a predicted model, not a curated record. The transcript is spliced from 2 exons.
AAUUAUUCUAAAUCUGCCCAUAUAUGGACACGUCCGAAUCUUUCGGUUUUCACUGUCUACAAUGUUGCAUCUGCGUCUGCUGGUAAUGCACCCACAAAGAAGUAAACUCUAUGGGGCUAUUUUCAUCAUUAUUAUGUUUCUUUAUGUUACUUUUGACGGUACAGCGAUCCGGGGCUAUUCCCAGAAGAUCCGGGGCUAUAGCCUGGAAUGCCCCGGUCUACCGACGCGCCUGGGUAGAGGCCCCUGGCAGUGGUUGGGAUGAGGUCAGGUGGUGGUGGUGAGACAUGUGUUCCCCCCCUCCAUCCCCUCCAACACCAGUCUUACCCCCGUUGGUCCUGAUGUGGGCGGGGUCCAGGGGGGUGGAGAUGUCCUCGAUGCCUUUCAGCUGGACCACACAC